UACGGAGGGUGCGAGCGUUAAUCGGAAUAACUGGGCGUAAAGGGCACGCAGGCGGACUUUUAAGUGAGGUGUGAAAUCCCCGGGCUUAACCUGGGAAUUGCAUUUCAGACUGGGGGUCUAGAGUACUUUAGGGAGGGGUAGAAUUCCACGUGUAGCGGUGAAAUGCGUAGAGAUGUGGAGGAAUACCGAAGGCGAAGGCAGCCCCUUGGGAAUGUACUGACGCUCAUGUGCGAAAGCGUGGGGAGCAAAC
RNAcentral lists this ribosomal RNA (250 nucleotides) under uncultured bacterium. Its description in RNAcentral is "partial 16S ribosomal RNA". It matches the Rfam family "Bacterial small subunit ribosomal RNA", at positions 524 to 773 of the family's 1533-position model. RNAcentral also lists the same sequence under 1 other name. The record is from RNAcentral.